This 95-nucleotide non-coding RNA is filed under the name unclassified sequences. RNAcentral's name for it is "DUF3800-V RNA". It matches the Rfam family "DUF3800-V RNA". The record is from Rfam by way of RNAcentral.
UGGAGUUGGCAAUAAUAUCUUUUGAGGUGCUCACGCGUUCCCUCUGCAAAUGUAGAGGUCUAAGCUUGAGAGCCACCUUAAGAGACGCCACUCUA